Molecule: ribosomal RNA, 301 nt
Filed under: uncultured bacterium
Lineage: Bacteria
Description: partial 16S ribosomal RNA
Rfam family: Bacterial small subunit ribosomal RNA
Source: RNAcentral
CAGUAGCCGCGGUAAUACGAAGGGGGCCAGCGUUGCUCGGAAUGACUGGGCGUAAAGGGCGCGUAGGCGGCGGCCAAAGUCAGGCGUGAAAUUCCCGGGCUCAACCUGGGGGCUGCGUUUGAUACUUGGUUGCUUGAGUGGGGAAGAGGGUCGUGGAAUUCCCAGUGUAGAGGUGAAAUUCGUAGAUAUUGGGAAGAACACCGGUGGCGAAGGCGGCGACCUGGUCCUUUACUGACGCUGAGGCGCGAAAGCGUGGGGAGCAAACAGGAUUAGAUACCCGCGUAGUCCCUGUCUCUUAUAC